GCGCCGCGGGACGCGCCGGCGGCGGCCGAGAGUGAGGGUGGCGAGCGCGUGGACGCACCUCCCGACGUGCUGGUUGCCCGCGCUCUCGGGCGCGGCCGGACGGCGGCGGAGCGCGCGCGGGAGACCCCCCCCUUCUCCCGCGCCAGAGCCUUGGGCCCCGCGGGAGCUUUGGGCCCCCUCCCCGCGUUUCCGGGGCGCGCGCGUUUUCGGGGGGCG
RNAcentral lists this unclassified non-coding RNA (216 nucleotides) under Macacine alphaherpesvirus 1. Lineage: Duplodnaviria; Heunggongvirae; Peploviricota; Herviviricetes; Herpesvirales; Orthoherpesviridae. The record is from RNAcentral.